Molecule: small nucleolar RNA, 84 nt
Organism: Chelonoidis abingdonii (Abingdon island giant tortoise)
Lineage: Eukaryota; Metazoa; Chordata; Testudines; Testudinidae
Product: small nucleolar RNA, C/D box 121A
Source: Ensembl
GGCCAGAAGACUGUGAUGUGGUAUUUUCCAAGCACAUAUCUGACUGGUCUGUGUGGAAAUCAACUAUUACUGAGUUUUCUGGAC